ACGAAAUAGAGGAGAGCUCUUCAUGGCAGGCAAGGGAUUUUGAAUUCUGUUCUCCAUGGUAGUGGGCCUUUAUAACAAAGCCAUGAGCAAACUGCAGGAUGUCCUACCUGUUUGGUGAAUGGUUAAACAAAUUGUGGUACAUUCCUACAAUGAAAUACUACUCAGCAAUAAGAAGGAAUAGACUGUUGAUACGUUCAACAAGUUGGGUGAAUCUCAAAGACACUAUGCUGAGUAAAAGAAGCCAUCUCAAAAGGGCUGCAUACCAAAAGGAACAAAAGCACAAAACAAACAAACAAACAAACAAACAAGCAAAUGAUGGUGGAAACUAUUUUCAAAACUUCCCUGUUCUGGUAAAGACGUUUUCAGAGCUCAAACUAGUCCUGCUGAAAAUAUUUUUUAAAAUAUGAAAGCAUAGCGGAAAAUUUGUAUGAAAAAGAAAAAAGAAAAAGAAGGAGGAGGAAGAAGAAGAAGAAAGAAGAAAAAGGAGAGGAAGAAGAAGAAGGAGGAGGAGGAGAAGAAGAGGAGGAGGAGGAGGAGGAAAUGGCAGAGACAAUGUAUGUCCCAGAAAGCCUAAAAUGUGUACUGUUUGUCCGUUUAUAGAAAAAGUGUGCCAGUCCCUACUCUGUUCCCAAUUUUAAAAACAAAUAAAUAAAAAGAAAAACAAGCAAGUCUCUCAGCCAAGAAAGAAUCGAUGGGAACUUUUUCAACUUUAUAAAGUGGAUCUACAAAAAACUACAACUAACACUAACGUCACACCUAAUGGUGAAAGUCUGAAUGUUUUCCCUCUAAGACUAGGAAAAGGUGGCAUGGAUGUCCACUCUCCCUACUCUAUUCAGCAUUGUAUCAAAAGUUCUUAUCAGUGAAAUAAGACAAGAAAACAAUAAAUGGC
This 889-nucleotide long non-coding RNA is filed under the name Homo sapiens (human). RNAcentral's name for it is "HSALNT0341951". Lineage: Eukaryota; Metazoa; Chordata; Mammalia; Primates; Hominidae. The record is from RNAcentral.